AAAAAAAAAAAAAUCUUUUCCCCAGCCCUAGCUAGUUCAGCUCAGUGGAUAGAGCAUCAGCCUGCAGACUGAAGGGUCCCAGGUUCGAUUUUGGUGAAGGACAUCUACCUUGGUUUCAGGCGCAUCACCAGUAGGGAGCGUGCAGGAGGCAGCUGAUCGAUGUUUCUCUCUCAUUGAUGUUUCUAACUCUCUAUCCUUCUCCCUUCCUCUCUGUAAAAAAUCAAUUAUAUUUU
Long non-coding RNA from Pipistrellus kuhlii (Kuhl's pipistrelle), 233 nucleotides. RefSeq lists it as uncharacterized. NCBI's taxonomy places the organism in Eukaryota, Metazoa, Chordata, Mammalia, Chiroptera, Vespertilionidae. The transcript is spliced from 2 exons. The record is from RefSeq and is a predicted model, not a curated record.